This 192-nucleotide unclassified non-coding RNA is filed under the name uncultured Pachyphlodes. Its description in RNAcentral is "sequence contains ITS2". The record is from RNAcentral. Lineage: Eukaryota; Fungi; Ascomycota; Pezizomycetes; Pezizales; Pezizaceae.
UCCUUCCAAUUAUCAAACUUUUGUAUAUCUAUAUAUAUAUAAAGAUGUUUGGACUUUCAUUGAGAAGAGCAGUAUUAUUAUUAAUAUUACUUUCUUAAAAACUAGAAAUAUUUUGUUUUGGUUUUCUUCCAACUCAUUUUGUAUUUAAUAUAACAAAUGAGUGUGAAUGUAACAAACAACAAUAAUACCUUU